AAGAUUUAAAUCUUCUAAAUCCUUGCUUUUAGAGUUAUUAUGUCAUUACCUUAUA
RNAcentral lists this small RNA (55 nucleotides) under Arabidopsis thaliana (thale cress). RNAcentral's name for it is "ATSL153060". The record is from RNAcentral. Lineage: Eukaryota; Viridiplantae; Streptophyta; Magnoliopsida; Brassicales; Brassicaceae.